UACGGAGGGUGCAAGCGUUGUUCGGAAUCAUUGGGCGUAAAGCGCGUGUAGGCGGCUUGGCAAGUCAGUUGUGAAAGCCCGGGGCCCAACCCCGGAACUGCAUCUGAAACUGCCUGGCUAGAGUCCCGGAGAGGAAGGCAGAAUUCCCGGUGUAGGGGUGAAAUCCGUAGAUAUCGGGAGGAAUACCAGCGGCGAAGGCGGCCUUCUGGACGGUGACUGACGCCGAGACGCGAAAGCGUGGGGAGCAAACAGG
This 253-nucleotide ribosomal RNA is filed under the name uncultured bacterium. Its description in RNAcentral is "partial 16S ribosomal RNA". It matches the Rfam family "Bacterial small subunit ribosomal RNA", at positions 524 to 776 of the family's 1533-position model. The record is from RNAcentral.